RNAcentral lists this ribosomal RNA (506 nucleotides) under Drisina glutinosa. RNAcentral's name for it is "partial large subunit ribosomal RNA". The stretch from base 337 to 495 matches the Rfam family "Bacterial large subunit ribosomal RNA", at positions 2473 to 2632 of the family's 2925-position model. Lineage: Eukaryota; Metazoa; Arthropoda; Insecta; Diptera; Cecidomyiidae. The record is from RNAcentral.
UUUAAAGGCCGCAGUAUUUUGACUGUGCAAAGGUAGCAUAAUCAUUAGGUUUUUAAUUGGAAUCUAGAAUGAAUGAUUAAAUGAGAUAAAAUCUUUUUUAGUUUUAAUAUUUGAAUUUUAUUUAUUAGUUAAAAAGCUGAUUUUUAAAAUAGGGACGAGAAGACCCUAUAGAAUUUUAUAAAUUUUUGAUUAAUUUUUUAUUAUUAUUUUAUUUUAUUAUUAUAAAUUUUAUUUUGUUGGGGAGAUAGUUAAAUUUUUUAAACUUUUAUUUUUAAAUUCAUAAAUAAAUGUAUUUUUGAUCUUUUUUUAUUGAUUAAAAAUUUAAAUUACCUUAGGGAUAACAGCAUAAUAUUUUUAAGAAGUUCUUAUUUUUAAAAAAGUUUAUGACCUCGAUGUUGAAUUAAAAAUAUUGUUAUAUGAAGAAAUAUAAUUAAUAAGUCUGUUCGACUUUUAAAUUUUUACAUGAUUUGAGUUCAAAUCGGUGUGAGCCAGGUCGGUUUCUAUCU